This 563-nucleotide ribosomal RNA is filed under the name uncultured bacterium. RNAcentral's name for it is "partial 16S ribosomal RNA". It matches the Rfam family "Bacterial small subunit ribosomal RNA", at positions 355 to 912 of the family's 1533-position model. The record is from RNAcentral.
UGGGGAAUUUUGGACAAUGGGCGAAAGCCUGAUCCAGCAAUGCCGCGUGUGUGAAGAAGGCCUUCGGGUUGUAAAGCACUUUUGUCCGGAAAGAAAUCCUUGGCUCUAAUACAGUCGGGGGAUGACGGUACCGGAAGAAUAAGCACCGGCUAACUACGUGCCAGCAGCCGCGGUAAUACGUAGGGUGCGAGCGUUAAUCGGAAUUACUGGGCGUAAAGCGUGCGCAGGCGGUUUGCUAAGACCGAUGUGAAAUCCCCGGGCUCAACCUGGGAACUGCAUUGGUGACUGGCAGGCUAGAGUAUGGCAGAGGGGGGUAGAAUUCCACGUGUAGCAGUGAAAUGCGUAGAGAUGUGGAGGAAUACCGAUGGCGAAGGCAGCCCCCUGGGCCAAUACUGACGCUCAUGCACGAAAGCGUGGGGAGCAAACAGGAUUAGAUACCCUGGUAGUCCACGCCCUAAACGAUGUCAACUAGUUGUGGGGAUUCAUUUCCUUAGUAACGUAGCUAACGCGUGAAGUUGACCGCCUGGGGAGUACGGUCGCAAGAUUAAAACUUAAAGGAAUUG